RNAcentral lists this ribosomal RNA (523 nucleotides) under Alteromonas macleodii. Its description in RNAcentral is "bacterial SSU rRNA". It matches the Rfam family "Bacterial small subunit ribosomal RNA", at positions 102 to 628 of the family's 1533-position model. Lineage: Bacteria; Pseudomonadati; Pseudomonadota; Gammaproteobacteria; Alteromonadales; Alteromonadaceae. The record is from RNAcentral.
ACGGGUGAGUAAUGCUUGGGAACUUGCCUUUGCGAGGGGGAUAACAGUUGGAAACGACUGCUAAUACCGCAUAAUGUCUUCGGACCAAACGGGGCUUCGGCUCCGGCGCAAAGAGAGGCCCAAGUGAGAUUAACUAGUUGGUAAGGUAACGGCUUACCAAGGCGACGAUCUCUAGCUGUUCUGAGAGGAAGAUCAGCCACACUGGGACUGAAACACGGCCCAGACUCCUACGGGAGGCAGCAGUGGGGAAUAUUGCACAAUGGGGGAAACCCUGAUGCAGCCAUGCCGCGUGUGUGAAGAAGGCCUUCGGGUUGUAAAGCACUUUCAGUUGUGAGGAAAAGUUAGUAGUUAAUACCUGCUAGCCGUGACGUUAACAACAGAAGAAGCACCGGCUAACUCCGUGCCAGCAGCCGCGGUAAUACGGAGGGUGCGAGCGUUAAUCGGAAUUACUGGGCGUAAAGCGCACGCAGGCGGUUUGUUAAGCUAGAUGUGAAAGCCCGGGCUCAACCUGGGAUGGUCAUUU